GAUGAACGCUGGCGGCGUGCCUAAUACAUGCAAGUCGAGCGAACAGACGAGGAGCUUGCUCCUCUGACGUUAGCGGCGGACGGGUGAGUAACACGUGGAUAACCUACCUAUAAGACUUGGAUAACUUCGGGAAACCGGAGCUAAUACCGGAUAAUAUAUUGAACCGCAUGGUUCAAUAGUGAAAGACGGUUUUGCUGUCACUUAUAGAUGGAUCCGCGCCGCAUUAGCUAGUUGGUAAGGUAACGGCUUACCAAGGCAACGAUGCGUAGCCGACCUGAGAGGGGAACCGACAAAAUGGAAAAGGGGAAAGGGCCCGAAUCCGAAGGGAGGCAAAAAGGAGGAAUAUUUGCGAAAGGGGGGAAGGCCGAACGAGGAAAACCGGGGGGGGGAAGAAGGGUUUUGGGUUGGAAAAACUUUUUUAUGGGGAAAAAAAAAAGGUGUAAGAAAAAAUGCAGGUCUUAAGGGAACCAAAUAAGAAACCCAGGGCAAAUUAGGG
This 496-nucleotide ribosomal RNA is filed under the name uncultured bacterium. RNAcentral's name for it is "partial 16S ribosomal RNA". It matches the Rfam family "Bacterial small subunit ribosomal RNA", at positions 28 to 506 of the family's 1533-position model. The record is from RNAcentral.